AGGGAGGAUACAGAAUUAGCAUGGAUCGUUGAAUGCUGAUCUGAAUGCUAACAGCUGAAAACAGGCCCCCAUGGAAACCCAGGAUUGUGCUCCACUGGAAAGCAUGGCCCACUCACAGUCUCCCAGGAGGCCCAUAGGUCAAUCUUAAACCACAAGUCAGUCAACCUCUCCCAAUGGCCUGUGCUGGCUGGGAGGAUGCCCAGAGGCUACAUCCUGCUCUGAACAGGAGCCCACGAGUCCAGAGUCUUCUCCAAUCAGAGAUGUUCUGCCCUCAGUGGCCGAAUGUGGCCGCUGUCACUGAGAGGUCACAGCAGGCCUAGAUAAGCACACAGGGCUCAGAUCAGACAGACGGCAGCCUUCUUGGAGCUCCGAGGACAUGGAGUCCCACAUUGAUUUCGCCACCGCGGUAAUGGCAGUUGGGGGAGGGAGCUAACAGCUCCUACGGCCUCUCCCCGGGUCUCUGUUCGGCACUUACGGUCCUUAACACACUGAAUUGUGAAGUAAAGAAAGAGGAAACAAGUAGCUGGGGGAGCACUAGGAAAAUGUUUACCCCAGCUUGGUGCGGCAGGUAAAAAAGCCUUGCUCACAGUGUCGUUCUGUUGAUCGCUCAGACGGGCCCUGGGGAACCCAGUGCUCCCACUAACCACAGCUCGGCGCUGGCUAGAAACGUGAGUGGCACUCAUCCCCCUGCUGAGAGUGCUCCCACCAGCCAGACCGCCAAGCUCAAGGGCCGCUAGACAGACCCUGGAGGAAGAAGGUGGGAGACUGGGUACCAGAUCCCGAUGAAGUCCUGGACUCGGGAAGCGGCCAAGUGAGUCUUUUGUGAACGUGAACUUCAAGAGAGCAUCAUGGAGAACCUGUUCCCUGUCGGGUGGAACAGAGGUGGCGGGUGGAAAGAGCCUCAACUAUGCUCUUACGGUGACCCACAGAGGAAUGCCGCUCCUGCCGCUGAGACCCUGUCUUGGGGGUGACUGCAUUUUCCAAAACAACUCGGACCCACGUCCUGCUUUUUUUUCUCCAGAUAUGCAGGUGAGACUCAAGCAGCCUGCGACCUCCUCAUCAGUGAGGUUCUCUGCAGAGGGGCCAUCAGCAGCCCUGAUAAAAUGUAACCAGAGGCACCUGGAGCCACCCAAGCCCGCACCGAGGCGGGACGGACACUAGAGGGCGCAGCCCAGCAGAGUCCCUAGGCCGUAGCUGAUACCCGUCUCCAUCUCUAAACCAGGAAGGAAAGUGGGAGCCACGAGGAGAUGGAGAGGAACUGAACCAUCAGGCAAAUGCAUGGUGGUGGAACUGGCUGGACCUUUACUAUGAAUGAUGGAGUCACUGAGAAACAGCUGUUAGGAGGAGUCCGCGGAGCACCCGGGCGGACUGGGUAGGAUGUCCCCCUGGAACGCACUAUUCUUACAAGAUUGUGGUGAGUUCACUUAUCCAUCCACUUCUCCCCCUGCUGUUUGCACUGUUACCAGGUGUGCAUGGGUUUGGCCUGAGGACGUGCAAGGGGCAUGGCCAUAACCUUGGGCAGCUGGGGAGAAAGGAGGCUGACUGAUGUCCAGGGGAAGAGGAUGGGCAGAGGGAGCCACAGGGUGCUCAGAGGCAAGUAGCUAUGAAAGUGCGAGAGCAUGGGAAUGUGUUAGUUACCUGGGGUGCAUCAACCUGGGGGGGAGAUUCAUGGGGUCAGACUCAGGGUUUUCUCCUGGGGUACAGGAGCCCCCCACAGCAGGUAAUUUUUCAAGAGCUCGAAGACUCAGGUUUGGGGACCAAAAGUCUCUGUUUCUGCUUGGGGCCUGUCCUCCCUCCAGGAGCACAAAGGGGGAUGAGGCAUGACUCACAGUCGACAGUACUACUCAACAGAACAGGCACAGAACAGCACGGAACAGUCUAGAACAGUACAGAACAACCUGAGAGGGGCAAGGUACCCCUGUGAUAGGUGGUCCCCAAUGGAGCUUGUAGAUUGGAGGCGGCAAGCAUAGUUUUUAAGAUCAGAAGAAAACCUCCAGGGAAUCACCUCAGGAGCUAUUUGACUCAUGUCUAAUGUCUUGGGAAGAAAUAAAAUCAAUAUCACAGGACCCGGAGCCUCACAGCCAUGCACAACCCUGUCUGUGAAGCCCCAGUGACAGGCACUGACUGAAGACCUCCUCUGUGAAAUCCCAGAGCAAAGCAAGGGGAAUGCACAGCUGUGCGAAAUGCUCCCUGUUGGUCGCACAGGAGAGGCCCUCUCCUCCUACAUGGAGCCUACGCCUGUUCUGCCUGGUCACCUCCAGGCAGGUGGUGGGCAGAGGGUGAGGUUCAAGAUGAACCCAUUGUCCAUCAUACCCCCCACCCUCCAGGGCGCAAGGCUGGGUUCCAGUUCCCCAGGGCACAGCUGGGACUGAUCUCAUGACCAAUUAACAUACAACCAAACACAGGAAGGCCGUGGCAAUUGUUUCAAGGGAGGAAGGAAGUCCGGGAGGGAGGGAACAGGCUGCCCCUGAAGACUCAGGCACUGAUGGUGCCUCUGUGGCCCACAAGCAUAGUCCCCACCCGCCCAUGCUUCUGCACCAGUCACCCAUGUAUGGUCUGGUUCAGCCUGUGCCCCCCCAUCCCCCACUAGCCCCUGCCUCCUCUUUAUAACAGGAUCUCACUUGUCCCAGACAGGCCUCCAAUAUGCUAUAUAGCUGAAGAUGACCUUGAGUUUCUGAUCCUCCUGCCUCCACCUCUUAAGUGUAGGACUACAGGCCUGUGCAGGUUCAUGCUAGGGAUGGAGCCCAGAGCUUCAUGCAUGCUACGCAAACACUCUACCAACUGAGCUAUAACCCCAGAACACCCUUUCUGAGCCAUAGUCUUAACUCUAGCCCAAGAGUGGGCUUCCUGGAGAUCCCAGCAACUGCCACCAGGCAAACGUUUACACGUCUCCUGUGUUCUCGGUAUUUCUGUUAGGAUUCUGCCGCCACUCCAGCUCCAUGACCGCACAUGUGCGGUUCAGCAGCUAAGCAAGGGGUCUUACGUCUUGUGUCAUCAGCGCGGUCACGCAAUCAGCACAUGCGUGGCGUGAGCCUAAUGAGCAUGUGCAUGGGAAUCCUUCAAAAGCGGGACACAGACGACUCCUCUCUGUUCUUUCUGCCCCCACUAUCUCUAGCUCUCUCUCUCUCUCUGUUCUCUGCACAUGCUU
Molecule: non-coding RNA, 3148 nt
Organism: Peromyscus maniculatus bairdii (prairie deer mouse)
Lineage: Eukaryota; Metazoa; Chordata; Mammalia; Rodentia; Cricetidae
Source: RefSeq, a predicted model, not a curated record